RNAcentral lists this ribosomal RNA (649 nucleotides) under uncultured beta proteobacterium. RNAcentral's name for it is "bacterial SSU rRNA". It matches the Rfam family "Bacterial small subunit ribosomal RNA", at positions 1 to 642 of the family's 1533-position model. Lineage: Bacteria; Pseudomonadati; Pseudomonadota; Betaproteobacteria. The record is from RNAcentral.
CGCGGGAUUAGAGUUUGAUCCUGGCUCAAAUUGAACCCCGGCGGCAUGCCUUACACAUGCAAGUCAAACGGCAGCACGGGAUCAAUCCUGUUGGCGAGUGGAGAACGGGAGAGUAAUACAUCACAUCGUGCCCUGUACUGGGGGAUAACCCGGCGAAAGCCAGACUAAUACCGCAUACCACCUAACGUUGAAAGCAAGGGAUCGCACUACCUUGCGCUAUUGGAGCGGCCGAUGUCCGAUUACCUUGUUGGCGGGGUAAAAGCCCACCGAGGCGACGAUCUGUAACUGGUCUGAGAGGACGACCAGCCACACUGGGACUGAGACACGGCCCACACUCCUACAGGAGGCAGCAGUGGGGAAUUUUGGACAAUGGGCGCAAGCCUGAUCCAUCCAUGCCGCGUGCGGGAAGAAGGCCUUCGGGUUGUAAACCGCUUUUGUCAUGGAAGAAACGCUCCGGAUUAAGUACCUCAGAGUAAUGACGGUACCUGAAGAAUAAGCACCGGCUAACUACGUGCCAUCAGCCGCGGUAAUACGUAGGGUGCAAGCGUUAAUCGGAAUUACUGGGCGUAAAGCGUGCGCACGCGGCUUUGCAAGACAUAUGUGAAAUCCCCGGGCUUAACCUGUGAACUGCAUUUGUGACUGCAUGGCU